GCAUCUCAUCAACCUUCUGCACACCUGGUCCUGAUCUUCACCUCUUCUUAAACCCUGAGCUGACAUCCAUUCCCUGCCGGAUCGUUAGCAACGAACAUCAUUCUCCCGGAACAUUCAACUCCCUUGCCUGGCCGUCGGUGGAUACAGUGACUUCAUUGGAUCAACCCAUUUACUCUCAUCAACUCACCUCCGCUGCCGCUCCGCCUCCUGGAUUAUUCAAUUUACACAUCAAGACUACCAAUAAAUACUCACCUUCAUUUUA
Non-coding RNA from Salmo salar (Atlantic salmon), 262 nucleotides. NCBI's taxonomy places the organism in Eukaryota, Metazoa, Chordata, Actinopteri, Salmoniformes, Salmonidae. The record is from RefSeq and is a predicted model, not a curated record.